RNAcentral lists this ribosomal RNA (269 nucleotides) under uncultured prokaryote. RNAcentral's name for it is "partial 16S ribosomal RNA". It matches the Rfam family "Bacterial small subunit ribosomal RNA", at positions 524 to 792 of the family's 1533-position model. The record is from RNAcentral.
UACGGAGGAUCCGAGCGUUAUCCGGAUUUAUUGGGUUUAAAGGGUGCGCAGGCGGGGGAUUAAGUCGGCGGUGAAAUUUUGCAGCUCAACUGUAAAAGUGCCUUCGAAACUGGUUUCCUUGAGUGUAGAUGAAGUAGGCGGAAUUUGUGGUGUAGCGGUGAAAUGCUUAGAUAUCACACAGAAUAUCGAUUGCGAAGGCAGCUCACAAAGCCAAGAUUGACGCUGAGGCACGAAAGUGUGGGGAGCAAACAGGAUUAGAUACCCCCGUA